UUUUGAUAUAACAUAUUAUAUAUAUAAGGGUAAACGACUGAAUACCCCCUUGGACUAUAUCGACUAUCGAAAUGUCCCUCAUAGAUUAUUUUUUCAGCCAAUUUAGCAUUCGAAUUAUUUUAAAUGGCCAAUUUAGCCCCUGCCGUCAAGUUUUUAGACUUCUAUUCAAUUUUCUGUUAAUUAUAAAGGUAAGUUUGUCAAUUUACAAUGACAAUACUAAAAAAUAAUAAAGAAAAUAUAAAAUCAUAAUUUCUUCUCUUUUAUUAUUAUUAUUCUUUUUCCUUUUUCCCUUUUCCUUUUCCUUCUUCUUCUUCCCUCUCUUUUCUUUCUUCUCUCCCCGUCUCUGGAGAGACUGCUACUCCGUUGGCUAAGUACAGGUUGUGGACCAGAACUUUGGUCUCUUUGGUUGUUGGGUUGUAGCUCAUCAAUCUGCCAUGGGGUCUGCCCCCUAAAAUACCUGAUGUUGCUCUUUCAUUGGAAAAUACCCAAUCUGCCAUGGGGUUGGGGUUGUAGAUCAUCAAUCUACAAUGUUGUAGAGGUGGGUCUUCUUCUCCACCUCCACUGUUGCUCUUUCACUGGGAAAAUAUCCAGCUCUUUCACUGAAAAAACCUUACAGAAGUGGGAUUGCAGAUAGAGGGUUUGGGGGAUGGGGUGGGGAAGACGUUGAUUCUAGGGUUUUUUGUUUUUGUUUUUUUGCUUCUUUAGUUUUUAAAGAUUUAAUUAGUUUUAACGGAAAAUUGGAUGAAACUACAUGGAAACUAACGGCAAGGGCUAAAUUGGCCAUUUAAAAUAGUAUGAUGGUUAAAUUGGCUGAAAAAGUAAUUCGGGUGGACAUUUCGAUAAGCGUUAUAGUUCAGGGGGGUUUUUGACAAUUUACCCUAUAUAUAAAGGCAAUAUACUCAAGUUAUAUAUAUAGACCUACACGGCAUAUGUAUAUACUCAAGUAAUAUUUAUAGAAUAUUAUUUGAUAUGAUAGUCUUAAUCUACUAUAUAUAUAAUCCACGAUUGCUAGAAGCAAUAACUGUCAAUUUAUUAUAUAUGGAUAUAUAUAUAUAUAUAUAAUUAUAUCAAAAUCAAAAAGUUGAUGAUGCUUUAACAUAAUAUAUAAAGCAAUCAUAUAUGAAGAGAAUCAUGACGGACAAAGAUAUUGAAGUGAUCAUUGUGCAUAUGUGCAUGCCUUUGCUUUCUCACCUGAAAUUAUCAUAACUCAAACUUUUUGAACAAUAGUAUAUACAAAAAAUGGUAUUGAAUUAUAAUAUUACAGUCUUGAUCUCUUGGACCCCUGUAGUCCAAGAGAUUUAUGGUCACUCACCGUUGGAUGUAAAUUCAACGGUUCACUCAUUUAUGACUUGAAUCGGGUAAUAAUCAUUUAUGUCAGAUUGCAUUUAUAUAUAUCAUUUUGAACCAUUGGAUUAAUAUCCAACGGUGGGUGACCACAAUCUCUUGGACUCCUGUGGUCCAAGAGAUCGGGACUGUAUAAUAUUAAUAUGAAAAGUUGAUGGUAAUAUAAUAUAUUAUAUUUAUUUGCUCUUGUAUUACAAACCACUAAUAAAAACAGACCUUUGGUAAUACUAAACCUAUUAUCAGUGAAAGACCGUUAGUAAUACUAACACCUUUCUUAUUUUAUUUAGUGGUGGUUUUAUCCCUACAUUUACUGUAUGGUGUAGGUUUAUUAUCCGUAUAGCAGUAUUUAUUUAAAAGUGUGGUGCAGGUUUAUCGUCCACACUACUGCCUUUAUUUUUAUUUAAAAGUAUGGAGUAGAAUUAGUGCUCAUACAAGCACAUUUACUUUAUUAUUUAAAGUAUGGUGCAGAAUUAACGUCCAUACAUGAGGUAAUUUAAUUUAUGAAUUCAUUUUACCGCACAUUUACAUUUAUUUAAAGUAUGGUGCGGGUUUAUGGUCUAUAUCAGCAAUUUAUUUUAUGGAUUAAUUGUGCGGUAUGAUGAGUUUUUACAGUAUACAAAUCAGGACCAGAAGCUCCUUGAUCCUUAUCAUACAACUACAUCUGGACUUGAAGAUCCUUGAUGAUAUAUUGAUAUGAGAGCUGACAGUCUCUCUGGUACUGUAUUUGUAAAUAAGUGACCGGACUUGAAGAUCCUUGAUCCUUGACAUGUAAAUAAGGACUUGGAGUUCCUUGAUGAUGUAACAAUACUGUAUUGGUUAAUAGUGCCGUACACAUGAAUAGUAACUAUACUGGCAAAUGUACUAUACGCAUGAAUAGACACAAAUUUCAUGACUUGAUGAAUAGUACCAU
Molecule: long non-coding RNA, 2254 nt
Filed under: Prunus dulcis (almond)
Lineage: Eukaryota; Viridiplantae; Streptophyta; Magnoliopsida; Rosales; Rosaceae
Description: sRNA ncRNA
Source: RNAcentral